This 73-nucleotide transfer RNA is filed under the name Fidelibacterota bacterium. RNAcentral describes it as "tRNA-Thr". It matches the Rfam family "tRNA". From Rfam's summary of the family: Transfer RNA (tRNA) molecules are approximately 80 nucleotides in length. Their secondary structure includes four short double-helical elements and three loops (D, anti-codon, and T loops). Further hydrogen bonds mediate the characteristic L-shaped molecular structure. tRNAs have two regions of fundamental functional importance: the anti-codon, which is responsible for specific mRNA codon recognition, and the 3' end, to which the tRNAs corresponding amino acid is attached (by aminoacyl-tRNA synthetases). tRNAs cope with the degeneracy of the genetic code in two manners: having more than one tRNA (with a specific anti-codon) for a particular amino acid; and 'wobble' base-pairing, i.e. permitting non-standard base-pairing at the 3rd anti-codon position. The record is from RNAcentral. Lineage: Bacteria; Pseudomonadati; Fidelibacterota.
GCCGAUGUAGCUCAGUUGGCAGAGCAGCUGAUUUGUAAUCAGCAGGUCGUGGGUUCAAAUCCCUCCGUCGGCU